UUAAGCGACUAAGCGUACACGGUGGAUGCCCUGGCAGUCAGAGGCGAUGAAGGACGUGCUAAUCUGCGAUAAGCGCCGGUAAGGUGAUAUGAACCGUUAUAACCGGCGAUUUCCGAAUGGGGAAACCCAGUGUGACUCGUCACACUAUCAUUAACUGAAUCCAUAGGUUAAUGAGGCGAACCGGGGGAACUGAAACAUCUAAGUACCCCGAGGAAAAGAAAUCAACCGAGAUUCCCCCAGUAGCGGCGAGCGAACGGGGAGGAGCCCAGAGCCUGAAUCAGCAUGUGUGUUAGUGGAAGCGUCUGGAAAGGCGCGCGAUACAGGGUGACAGCCCCGUACACAAAAGCGCAUGUGCUGUGAGCUCGAUGAGUAGGGCGGGACACGUGGUAUCCUGUCUGAAUAUGGGGGGACCAUCCUCCAAGGCUAAAUACUCCUGACUGACCGAUAGUGAACCAGUACCGUGAGGGAAAGGCGAAAAGAACCCCGGCGAGGGGAGUGAAAAAGAACCUGAAACCGUGUACGUACAAGCAGUGGGAGCACAGGUUUACCUGUGUGACUGCGUACCUUUUGUAUAAUGGGUCAGCGACUUAUAUUCUGUAGCAAGGUUAACCGAAUAGGGGAGCCGGAGGGAAACCGAGUCUUAAUUGGGCGUUAAGUUGCAGGGUAUAGACCCGAAACCCGGUGAUCUAGCCAUGGGCAGGUUGAAGGUUGGGUAACACUAACUGGAGGACCGAACCGACUAAUGUUGAAAAAUUAGCGGAUGACCUGUGGCUGGGGGUGAAAGGCCAAUCAAACCGGGAGAUAGCUGGUUCUCCCCGAAAGCUAUUUAGGUAGCGCCUCGUGAAUUCAUCUCCGGGGGUAGAGCACUGUUUCGGCUAGGGGGCCAUCCCGGCUUACCAACCCGAUGCAAACUGCGAAUACCGGAGAAUGUUAUCACGGGAGACACACGGCGGGUGCUAACGUCCGUCGUGAAGAGGGAAACAACCCAGACCGCCAGCUAAGGUCCCAAAGUCAUGGUUAAGUGGGAAACGAUGUGGGAAGGCCCAGACAGCCAGGAUGUUGGCUUAGAAGCAGCCAUCAUUUAAAGAAAGCGUAAUAGCUCACUGGUCGAGUCGGCCUGCGCGGAAGAUGUAACGGGGCUAAACCAUGCACCGAAGCUGCGGCAGCGAACGUAUCACUUAAAGCGAUUCAGCGGGUUACGAUUGACGGAGCGAAGCGACGUCAAAGCGUAUACAAAGUCGAGUCGGUUUAAGGAUACGUUCGUUGGGUAGGGGAGCGUUCUGUAAGCCUGUGAAGGUGUGUCGUGAGGCAUGCUGGAGGUAUCAGAAGUGCGAAUGCUGACAUAAGUAACGAUAAAGCGGGUGAAAAGCCCGCUCGCCGGAAGACCAAGGGUUCCUGUCCAACGUUAAUCGGGGCAGGGUGAGUCGACCCCUAAGGCGAGGCCGAAAGGCGUAGUCGAUGGGAAACGGGUUAAUAUUCCCGUACUUGGUGUUACUGCGAAGGGGGGACGGAGAAGGCUAUGUUGGCCGGGCGACGGUUGUCCCGGUUUAAGCGUGUAGGUGUGUGUUCCAGGUAAAUCCGGUUCACUUUAACACUGAGGCGUGAUGACGAGGCACUACGGUGCUGAAGCAACAAAUGCCCUGCUUCCAGGAAAAGCCUCUAAGCAUCAGGUAACAUCAAAUCGUACCCCAAACCGACACAGGUGGUCAGGUAGAGAAUACCAAGGCGCUUGAGAGAACUCGGGUGAAGGAACUAGGCAAAAUGGUGCCGUAACUUCGGGAGAAGGCACGCUGACAUGUAGGUGAAGUGAUUUACUCAUGGAGCUGAAGUCAGUCGAAGAUACCAGCUGGCUGCAACUGUUUAUUAAAAACACAGCACUGUGCAAACACGAAAGUGGACGUAUACGGUGUGACGCCUGCCCGGUGCCGGAAGGUUAAUUGAUGGGGUCAGCGCAAGCGAAGCUCCUGAUCGAAGCCCCGGUAAACGGCGGCCGUAACUAUAACGGUCCUAAGGUAGCGAAAUUCCUUGUCGGGUAAGUUCCGACCUGCACGAAUGGCGUAAUGAUGGCCAGGCUGUCUCCACCCGAGACUCAGUGAAAUUGAACUCGCUGUGAAGAUGCAGUGUACCCGCGGCAAGACGGAAAGACCCCGUGAACCUUUACUAUAGCUUGACACUGAACAUUGAGCCUUGAUGUGUAGGAUAGGUGGGAGGCUUUGAAGCGUGGACGCCAGUCUGCGUGGAGCCGACCUUGAAAUACCACCCUUUAAUGUUUGAUGUUCUAACGUGGACCCGUAAUCCGGGUUGCGGACAGUGUCUGGUGGGUAGUUUGACUGGGGCGGUCUCCUCCUAAAGAGUAACGGAGGAGCACGAAGGUUGGCUAAUCCUGGUCGGACAUCAGGAGGUUAGUGCAAUGGCAUAAGCCAGCUUGACUGCGAGCGUGACGGCGCGAGCAGGUGCGAAAGCAGGUCAUAGUGAUCCGGUGGUUCUGAAUGGAAGGGCCAUCGCUCAACGGAUAAAAGGUACUCCGGGGAUAACAGGCUGAUACCGCCCAAGAGUUCAUAUCGACGGCGGUGUUUGGCACCUCGAUGUCGGCUCAUCACAUCCUGGGGCUGAAGUAGGUCCCAAGGGUAUGGCUGUUCGCCAUUUAAAGUGGUACGCGAGCUGGGUUUAGAACGUCGUGAGACAGUUCGGUCCCUAUCUGCCGUGGGCGCUGGAGAACUGAGGGGGGCUGCUCCUAGUACGAGAGGACCGGAGUGGACGCAUCACUGGUGUUCGGGUUGUCAUGCCAAUGGCACUGCCCGGUAGCUAAAUGCGGAAGAGAUAAGUGCUGAAAGCAUCUAAGCACGAAACUUGCCCCGAGAUGAGUUCUCCCUGAGACUUAGAGUCUCCUGAAGGAACGUUGAAGACGACGACGUUGAUAGGCCGGGUGUGUAAGCGCAGCGAUGCGUUGAGCUAACCGGUACUAAUGAACCGUGAGGCUUAACCUU
This 2987-nucleotide ribosomal RNA is filed under the name Salmonella enterica subsp. enterica serovar Infantis. Its description in RNAcentral is "bacterial LSU rRNA". It matches the Rfam family "Bacterial large subunit ribosomal RNA". Lineage: Bacteria; Pseudomonadati; Pseudomonadota; Gammaproteobacteria; Enterobacterales; Enterobacteriaceae. The record is from RNAcentral.